GGGCCCGCACAAGCAGUGGAGUAUGUGGUUUAAUUCGAAGCAACGCGAAGAACCUUACCAGGUCUUGACAUCCAACUAACGAGGCAGAGAUGCGUUAGGUGCCCUUCGGGGAAAGUUGAGACAGGUGGUGCAUGGUUGUCGUCAGCUCGUGUCGUGAGAUGUUGGGUUAAGUCCCGCAACGAGCGCAACCCUUGUGAUUAGUUGCUACGCAAGAGCACUCUAAUCAGACUGCCGUUGACAAAACGGAGGAAGGUGGGGACGACGUCAAAUCAUCAUGCCCUUUAUGACCUGGGCUACACACGUACUACAAUGGCCAUUAACAACGGGAAGCGAGACCGCGAGGUGGAGCAAAACCCCAAAAAUGGCCUCAGUUCGGAUCGCAGGCUGCAACCCGCCUGCGUGAAGCUGGAAUUGCUAGUAAUCGCGGAUCAUCAUGCCGCGGUGAAUACGUUCCCGGGCCUUGUACACACCGCCCGUCACACCAUGGGAGCCGGUAAUACCCG
This 503-nucleotide ribosomal RNA is filed under the name uncultured bacterium. RNAcentral describes it as "bacterial SSU rRNA". It matches the Rfam family "Bacterial small subunit ribosomal RNA", at positions 917 to 1423 of the family's 1533-position model. The record is from RNAcentral.